RNAcentral lists this long non-coding RNA (209 nucleotides) under Homo sapiens (human). Its description in RNAcentral is "HSALNT0076010". The record is from RNAcentral. Lineage: Eukaryota; Metazoa; Chordata; Mammalia; Primates; Hominidae.
AGGUCUGCAAUGACGGAAGGACUAUCUCAACAGGCAUGGAGGCGAAUGGUAGGAGAUCCUGUCACAGAAAAGAGACCAGGGUCUAACACGGGAAGCUUCAGGAGACCUGCAACAAGAAGCACAGACUCUUUGCCAGAGCAUGAUACCAACUUGGACAGUGAUGAAUGUCAGCUGGGUGUAGAUCAUGUCCACCAGGCAGGCAAAUUCCG